AGCGAACGCUGGCGGCACGCCUAACACAUGCAACUCGAACGGACCUCUCGGGGUUAGUGGCGGACGGGUGAGUAACAUGUGGGAACGUGCUUUCAGGCUCGGAAAAGCUCCUGGAAACGGGCGGUAAUGCCAUAUGCGCUCCUAGGGGGAAAGAUUUAUCGGCUUUAAAGCGGCCCGCGUCUGAUUAGCUAGUUGGUGAGGUAAUGGCUCACCAAGGCUACGAUCAGUAGCUGGUCUGAGAGGAUGACCAGCUACAUUGGGACUGAGACACGGCCCAAACUCCUACGGGAGGCAGCAGUGGGGAAUCUUAGACAAUGGGGGAAACCCUGAUCUAGCCAUGCCGCGUGAUCGAUGAAGGCCUUAGGGUUGUAAAGAUCUUUCAGUGGGGAAGAUAAUGACGGUACCCACAGAAGAAGCCCCGGCUAACUCCGUGCCAGCCGCCGCGGUAA
This 449-nucleotide ribosomal RNA is filed under the name uncultured bacterium. Its description in RNAcentral is "partial 16S ribosomal RNA". It matches the Rfam family "Bacterial small subunit ribosomal RNA", at positions 29 to 523 of the family's 1533-position model. The record is from RNAcentral.